GGUCACAACCUCUGCAUUCAGUGAUGCUUUUAUUAUAUUAAUAUAUAUUAUAUUAUAUAUCAUUUUACAUAUUGAUAUAUAUUAUUCUAUUACAUUAAUCACAGCAGUGUCUUGAUACAUUUGGAAACUGGGAGACAUGAUUUACCCUUUCUAUACAGAAUGCUCGGCUCCCAGCUCCCAUGCAAGUCCUCCAACCCCCUCGCCACUUCCGAGUUUGCCAUCCACAGGGGAAAGGGCAAGGCUGGAUGUUGCCUGAGAUUCCUUUCAACUCCAGGCUUGGCAUCGUGCUUGAGCUACACCUAGGUGUGCAGAACUUCUGAGGAACCUCUAAGAACAAAUCCCAUUUCUGGGCUACCAGGUCUUCCACCUUUUGGCUUUACCCCAGGUAGCCCCUGGCGCCACUCCAGCCAGCCUCACUGCAGCCCCAUGUUUGCUUGCUCAGAAACCCCUUCUGCCUGAAACAGCCUGCCCCUUGAUGUUCUCCCAACUUGCUGUCUCUUCUAAACCCACCACAAAUCCAGCCUGCCUUGAAUAGUUUCCUGCCUUGAAGAUCCACCCACUGCAUCAUUACAUUCUAAGAAACACAACCAACCUCUGUAUGUAUAUAAAUUGUCUAGGCAAUUGUGUUAUCUAUGUAUUACUCAGAUGAUUUACUUAUCAGCACUUUAUUCUCACUAUUAGAUGCAUGCCCUGUAAUGUACCAGUGGAAAGAAUGGUAAGGAGGGAAAGAAAAGCAGAAUGGAAUGUGGGUUUUCUAACAUACUGUUGUGUUAUCUAGGCUGCCAUACGUGGGCAGAUGCCUCCGUCUGUGGUGUGUGAAGUUGGUUUUGGUUUCACUGAUAACACACUCUAUGCAAGUUUGAUUGGUGAACAGUAGUGUCAUUAACAGUUUCAUAAGUCAGUUGCUCCAGGAAGUUUAUGGUAUACAAAUAUUAACAACUACUGGAGAUUUUUCUUAGAAGACUGUAAAAUUCUACGAUUAUUGCCAGGAAAGAAACACUUUAAAUUCCUUUAUUUCACUCUGUAAUGCAUAUUCUCAAAUAGGAAGGAGUAAACUUUAUAAUUUCAAGUUUAAAUAUUUUUUGCUUGGGAAAUUAAAACGGUCCCAAUUUAUAAUUUAUUUCACAUCACAGUUUACGGAUCACUGAAUAGAAUGUUAAUUCAUUCUCAGAAUGGCAAACAUCCUGUCUUAAGGGAGUGAUGGAAAAACAAAAGGCCAUGCCAAGUUCACCAUAAUAUGUAUAACUGGUCUACAGUGAUGUUGUGUUCUUAACUAGCGUGACAUGCCAAAAAUGAGGGCUUACUUUGGAAAAUUGCAAAAUCCUAUACAUGCAAUACUGACUGUGUUCAUUUCAUUACAUUUUAUAAAACUAUCUGUUGGCAAUUGUGUGUCAAAAUGGGUUGUCAAAUC
Molecule: long non-coding RNA, 1411 nt
Filed under: Phocoena sinus (vaquita)
Lineage: Eukaryota; Metazoa; Chordata; Mammalia; Artiodactyla; Phocoenidae
Description: lncRNA (ENSPSNG00000000785.1)
Source: RNAcentral